RNAcentral lists this ribosomal RNA (424 nucleotides) under uncultured bacterium. RNAcentral describes it as "partial 16S ribosomal RNA". It matches the Rfam family "Bacterial small subunit ribosomal RNA", at positions 360 to 776 of the family's 1533-position model. The record is from RNAcentral.
AAUUUUGGACAAUGGGGGAAACCCUGAUCCAGCCAUCCCGCGUGUGCGAUGAAGGCCUUCGGGUUGUAAAGCACUUUUGGCAGGGAAGAAACGGCGCCGGAUAAUACCUGGCGUCACUGACGGUACCUGCAGAAUAAGCACCGGCUAACUACGUGCCAGCAGCCGCGGGAAUACGUAGGGUGCAAGCGUUAAUCGGAAUUACUGGGCGUAAAGCGUGCGCAGGCGGUUUGGAAAGAAAGGUGUGAAAUCCCAGAGCUUAACUUUGGAACUGCACUUUUAACUGCCAAGCUAGAGUAUGUCAGGGGGAGGUAGAAUUCCACGUGUAGCAGUGAAAUGCGUAGAGAUGUGGAGGAAUACCGAUGGCGAAGGCAGCCCCCUGGGAUAAUACUGACGCUCAUGAACGAAAGCGUGGGGAGCAAACAGG